CACGUAGGCGGACUGUUAAGUCGGGGGUGAAAUCCUGGGGCUCAACCUCAGAAUUGCCUCCGAUACUGGCAGUCUCGAGUGCGGGAGAGGUGAGUGGAAUUCCCAGUGUAGAGGUGAAAUUCGUAGAUAUCGGGAAGAACACCAGUGGCGAAGGCGGCUCACUGGCCCGUAACUGACGCUGAGGUGCGAAAGCGUGGGGAGCAAACA
This 207-nucleotide ribosomal RNA is filed under the name uncultured bacterium. Its description in RNAcentral is "partial 16S ribosomal RNA". It matches the Rfam family "Bacterial small subunit ribosomal RNA", at positions 568 to 774 of the family's 1533-position model. The record is from RNAcentral.